GAUGAACGCUGGCGGCGUGCCUAAUACAUGCAAGUCGAGCGAACGGACGAGAAGCUUGCUUUUCUGAUGUUAGCGGCGGACGGGUGAGUAACGCGUGGAUAACCUACCUAUAAGACUGGGAUAACUUCGGGAAACCGGAGCUAAUACCGGAUAAUAUUUUGAACCGCAUGGUUCAAAAGUGAAAGACGGUCUUGCUGUCACUUAUAGAUGGAUCCGCGCUGCAUUAGCUAGUUGGUAAGGUAACGGCUUACCAAGGCAACGAUGCAUAGCCGACCUGAGAGGGUGAUCGGCCACACUGGAACUGAGACACGGUCCAGACUCCUACGGGAGGCAGCAGUAGGGAAUCUUCCGCAAUGGGCGAAAGCCUGACGGAGCAACGCCGCGUGAGUGAUGAAGGUCUUCGGAUCGUAAAACUCUGUUAUUAGGGAAGAACAUAUGUGUAAGUAACUGUGCACAUCUUGACGGUACCUAAUCAGAAAGCCCCGGCUAACUACGUG
Molecule: ribosomal RNA, 497 nt
Filed under: uncultured bacterium
Lineage: Bacteria
Description: partial 16S ribosomal RNA
Rfam family: Bacterial small subunit ribosomal RNA
Source: RNAcentral